This 67-nucleotide transfer RNA is filed under the name Cteniopinus ruber. Its description in RNAcentral is "tRNA-Ala". The record is from RNAcentral. Lineage: Eukaryota; Metazoa; Arthropoda; Insecta; Coleoptera; Tenebrionidae.
AGGAUAAUAGUUAAUUAUAACGUUUAAUUUGCAUUUAAAAAUAAUUGGUCUAUACUGAUUUAUCUUA